This 285-nucleotide long non-coding RNA is filed under the name Elaeis guineensis (African oil palm). Its description in RNAcentral is "long non-coding RNA (EGUI_LNC043257)". Lineage: Eukaryota; Viridiplantae; Streptophyta; Magnoliopsida; Arecales; Arecaceae. The record is from RNAcentral.
UCGAGAACGACGUAGGAUUUAACUGUCAAUCCUAAAUAAGUUAUCCAUAUUAUAUUUCAAUCUUUCAAAUCCAUCACAUGGAUUAUCCGGACUCAGAUUUUGCUAAAUUGAAAUACAUUGAUACAUUAACUCCUACUAAUUCGAAAGGAUCAAUCCCAUCUUGACUCAUGCAUCGACUUGAUAAGUACUUGACUGUACCUAAAAAUUUUUCGUCACUGAAUUAUAAAUUUAGAUAGUCUGGCACUAAAGUAUAGUGAGUUGCUUGCAAGUCACUGUAGUGAUCUC